Molecule: ribosomal RNA, 399 nt
Filed under: uncultured bacterium
Lineage: Bacteria
Description: bacterial SSU rRNA
Rfam family: Bacterial small subunit ribosomal RNA
Source: RNAcentral
GGAAUAUUGGACAAUGGGGGAAACCCUGAUCCAGCCAGGCCGCGUGAAUGAUGAAGGCCUUCGGGUUGUAAAGUUCUUUUGGUAGGGACGAUGAUGACGGUACCUACAGAAUAAGCUCCGGCUAACUUCGUGCCAGCAGCCGCGGUAAUACGAAGGGAGCUAGCGUUGUUCGGAAUUACUGGGCGUAAAGGGCGCGUAGGCGGCUUGGCAAGUUGGAUGUGAAAGCCCUGGGCUCAACCCGGGAAUUGCAUUCAAGACUGCCUUGCUUGAAUUCGGUAGAGGUGAGUGGAAUUCCCAGUGUAGAGGUGAAAUUCGUAGAGAUUGGGAAGAACACCAGUGGCGAAGGCGGCUCACUGGACCGACAUUGACGCUGAGGCGCGAAAGCGUGGGGAUCAAACA